Molecule: ribosomal RNA, 253 nt
Filed under: uncultured bacterium
Lineage: Bacteria
Description: partial 16S ribosomal RNA
Rfam family: Bacterial small subunit ribosomal RNA
Source: RNAcentral
UACGUAGGGUGCGAGCGUUGUCCGGAAUUAUUGGGCGUAAAGGGCUCGUAGGCGGUUUGUCGCGUCGGGAGUGAAAACUCAGGGCUUAACCCUGAGCCUGCUUCCGAUACGGGCAGACUAGAGGUAUGCAGGGGAGAACGGAAUUCCUGGUGUAGCGGUGAAAUGCGCAGAUAUCAGGAGGAACACCGGUGGCGAAGGCGGUUCUCUGGGCAUUACCUGACGCUGAGGAGCGAAAGUGUGGGGAGCAAACAGG